GACAGAGGUGCCAAGCGUUAGGCGGAAUCACUGGGCUUAAAGCGUGUGUAGGCGGAUCGUUAAAUACCUUGUGAAAUCCCACGGCUCAACCGUGGAACUGCUCGGUAUACUGGCGGUCUUGAGCCACCUAGGGGCAACUGGAACAAGCGGUGGAGCGGUGAAAUGCGUAGAUAUCGCUUGGAACGCCAACGGUGAAAACAGGUUGCUGGGGGUGUGCUGACGCUGAGACGCGAAAGCGUGGGGAGCGAACAGG
RNAcentral lists this ribosomal RNA (253 nucleotides) under uncultured bacterium. Its description in RNAcentral is "partial 16S ribosomal RNA". It matches the Rfam family "Bacterial small subunit ribosomal RNA", at positions 524 to 776 of the family's 1533-position model. The record is from RNAcentral.